GAAACCAAGGGAAGGCGCCCAGUCUGGCGCAGCGCUGACACAAAUUUCAGAGAGUGACACAGGUGCCCUGAAAACCCUGGACGGCCAUGGGCGACAGGGUGCCUGAGCUGAGGCGCCUGUAAACCAGCAAGCCAAGCUCGUUCGUUCCCUGCCUGGGACCGCCACACACCGCUGAGCCGCUCCCCACCGUGCCUCGGGCGACUGCUGGUCCUUUAACAGGAGGCGCGCGUGCUCCUGGGAGUUGUAGUUUAUCAGCUUCCGACGCGCCCCGCGGUAUCUGGACUACAGCUCCCGACGUGCCCCGCGGAAGCCUGGCCACCGCCCCCGACGCGACCCGCGCCGCGUCCGCGGCGGGGAGUUGUUGCUGCCGCGAUGCUGGUGGCGGCGGCCGCGGAGCGGAACAAGGAUCCCAUCUUGCACGUGCUGCAGCAGUACCUGGAUCCGGCCCAGCGCGGCGUCCGCGUACUCGAGGUGGCCUCGGGCUCCGGCCAGCACGCAGCGCACUUCGCCCGGGCCUUCCCCCUGGCCGAGUGGCAGCCGUCGGACGUGGACCAGCGCUGCCUGGACAGCAUCGCGGCCACUACGCAAGCCCAGGGCCUGACCAACGUGAAGGCCCCGCUACACCUGGACGUGACUUGGGGCUGGGAGCACUGGGGCGGGAUCCUGCCGCAGUCGCUGGACCUGUUGCUCUGCAUCAACAUGGCCCAUGUCAGCCCCCUGCGCUGCACGGAGGUCUGUGGGGAGCCCAGCAUGGGUGUCUGCCGUGGCACCCCUCACCCUGCAUGGGGGCAGCCAGGAUGCCAGAUUUGCCCCCAUCACAGUCGGGGGGCUCUUCAGAGCAGCAGGACACCUGCUCAAACCCAGGGCCCUGCUCAUCACCUAUGGGCCCUAUGCCAUCAAUGGGAAGAUCUACCCCCAGAGCAACGUGGACUUUGACCUGAUGCUCAGAUGCAGGAACCCAGAAUGGGGGCUUCGGGACACAGCCCUCCUGGAGGACCUGGGAAAGGCCAGUGGCCUGCUCCUGGAGAGGAUGGUGGACAUGCCAGCCAACAACAAAUGCCUGAUCUUCCGGAAAAACUAAGCCCCUCCUUCACCCCCGCACACCUGCAUCCCUGCCGGAGGCUCUGUGAGGCACAAACCCUGCCUCCCUAGGCCGGACCUUGUGGACGACAGCCCCACCCAGUCUGUGCUCUCAGCCGCUGGCCGAAGGGCCCAGCCUGCUCAGAAUAAAGCAUGUCCUGCUGCCGGC
This is an RNA transcript of Pan troglodytes (chimpanzee), 1249 nucleotides long. It is a transcript of the gene named methyltransferase like 26, with no coding region annotated. The record is from RefSeq and is a predicted model, not a curated record. The transcript has 6 exons. NCBI's taxonomy places the organism in Eukaryota, Metazoa, Chordata, Mammalia, Primates, Hominidae.